GAAAAAAGAAAAAAGAGAAAGAAAUCACAGUUGUAACACCAGGAAUUUCUAUUCUUACAGCAGAAAUAGACAUUUGUAAUAAGCUUUGGCUCACAGUCAGGGUUGCCACUGCCACUGCAAAACAGGCAAAUUGAAUUGAAGCAGCUAAAAAAACCUCAGGUUUUGGUGAAGUUUGCAGGUUGGAUUACCGGCAGCUACUGCAGAGAGAAGUUUGGAUUGCAAAUAUGGCAUUUGUUGACCCUGGGCAUUGUUUAAUGCCCUGUAUAGACCAUCGUACAGACCAUGUCAGAAUUCCUAGUCUUUUACUUCUAAAUUUUAUUACAUCGUGUGAAAUUUAGAAAAAUAUAAGCUGUUUAUUUUCUUGAUCAAGAUAGGUGAAGAAAUACAGAAAAGAAAGAAAUAAUGAAAGCAAACCCCAACUUUCAGAUUUGGACACACCUUUGCUAAAAACUAUCAACAUUUUCCCCUUGAAAUUCUGAGUGGAAAGAUAUGUGCUUCCCUAAGUCAGGAGCUGUAUGUGCACUCCCCACCCCGAAACAUUUUUUGGGCAAAUGGAAUCAUUAAAGGAAUGAGAGGUAUCUACUCUUCAGUUCCCACUCAUUGACACAAACAGAAAACGCUACUGCAGCUUUCAGAGGUGACAGCUACUGUCUUCAAGGUGGAGAUAAGAGGUAAAUGGAGGGAGGUCAUACCUCAACUCCAGGAAUCUUGAAACUAAAAUGUUUUCUCAAAAAGCCAUGCACACAUUCAAAAAAAACCUUGGAUUUUCUAGAGCAGAUCUAUUAUCUUUUUUCUGGGUUUUUUUUUUUCAUUGUCUCCAUGAGUAAACUUAUAUUAGAAACCACACCUAAAAUUGGUUACCAGUUACACUUCUGGGGCCAGAAAGCAAAGGAAAUUAAUAAAAGGGAAACACCCUAGGGAGAAACUGAAUGAACUCUUAGAUGGCUAAAAUUUUGUGACUAAUCAGCAUCCUCUUUAAAUGUACCAUAUCCAAGUCUGACCUUUUUACUUAGUAGAAAAACAAUACAAAGAUUGCAGUUUCCAUUUUAAAUACAAUCUUUUUGUUCAAUUGUCAACCAGGAGUGGUUUUAAAUAAAACCACUUUCUGUAUUUUCCUCAGAGGUGUCUUAAUUUUCCCUAUCAAACUCACAAACCAAAGGUACUAAAGUCAGCAAGACCUAAUGUCUAAUUUACUUAUACCUAUGAUGAAAUCUAGUGCCAAGGAUCAUCCAUGGCCAUUGCCCCACUUCAAAUAUUCAUGAGCCUCCACAAUCCAAAAUGCAUUAAAUGUGGGCAGGUUGCCAAUAACACACAAUCUUCCUAAUGACAGGGAGCUUUCUCAGAUCAAAGGAGCAAGAUGUUAAAGACUUCAAACUAAACUGUCUUUGUAAGAGACACCCAGAAAAGAAAUGCCAGAUCCCACACCCUGUUUCAGUUAUGAAACAUCAAUGAAAUAGAGAAAAUAAUAAACAUUCAUUCAUUCCUCUUUGGAACUCAUUUUUUUGCAACAACUUUGCUUCUUUCCUUUCUUACCAUUGCACUCAAACACUAAGGAUGUUAUACACUAAAACUGGAAAAUAUUAUUAAUGCUUUCAAAGACAAAAUGACUACUAAGGAGUUAAUAGCAUUUAUGCCAAUAUGAUAUCGCUAAUGGAGCCUGAGUGGCAUGUAGAGAAUACUACAAAAGCAAAGUUAAAACAGGGAUAAAGAGCUAUGAAGAAUACAUAUAAAGCAAAUAUACCUAAUAAUUUAAGUUGUCCCUUUAUGUCAUUUGUCAUCUGGCUGCAUCUGCUCUUAAACCUGUGCACCUGUGCUCUGUUCCUGGAAAUAUUAGGCAUGCAGCCAAUUUCAUACCCAGCCAUUCCUAUGGUCAGACCCAGCUAUCAGUGCUUUUGUAUGUAUAUGUAUAUUAAAUCAAGUAUCAACCCCCGGGCUCUGAACUACUUCUGACUGACAGAACCAACAGAAAGUUCCAGGCUAAUUACUUCUAAGGAAUAGUUCCCAGAGAAAAGAGUUUCCACUGACCUACUUUGGACUUACUGAGAUAAUUUAUCAGAAUAAAAACAGCAUAUUACCAGACAUCCUCGGCAUCUUCGUCACAUUCUGCACCAAACUGGCAAA
RNAcentral lists this long non-coding RNA (2121 nucleotides) under Homo sapiens (human). RNAcentral describes it as "HSALNT0308001". The record is from RNAcentral. Lineage: Eukaryota; Metazoa; Chordata; Mammalia; Primates; Hominidae.